This 132-nucleotide small RNA is filed under the name Escherichia coli. RNAcentral's name for it is "RtT sRNA". It matches the Rfam family "RtT RNA". From Rfam's summary of the family: This family represents a bacterial cis-regulatory element known as RtT RNA. The record is from RNAcentral. RNAcentral also lists the same sequence under 1 other name. Lineage: Bacteria; Pseudomonadati; Pseudomonadota; Gammaproteobacteria; Enterobacterales; Enterobacteriaceae.
AUUCUGCCCAUGCGGGGAAGGAUGAGAAGCUUCGACCAAGGUUCGACUCGAGCGCCAGCGAGAGAGCGUUGCCGCAGGCAACGACCCGAAGGUCGAAGCGCGCAGCGCUGAGUAAUCCUUCCCCCACCACCA